CCAUAUACAUCCUAUGUGAGUUUUUGAGCCAAUUGAAAGUGUGUGCAUUUUUCAUACACUCCUAUUCUUUCAUGUGUGAUGAACUUAUGUGAGAUACAUCUCUAGAACUUGCGUAACGAUCUUUCGAAAUGUUUGUCAUUGAUUGCAUGAACUUGAAAAUGAUAGAGGCAUUAGGUUUACCACUAUGGCCCAAAUAACCAUGUUUCCCAAAGAAAAAUGAUAUCAUUAGAUUGCCAAUUUGAGCCGUAUAUGUUGAGCCUUUUAUUUCUUAUCACCAGAUAUGUCUACACUUAUACCUUAAACAUUUUUCCUUACCCUUUCCAAGCUAGCUAGUGAGCAAUGUGAGAUUGUCUUAUGAGAAAUAUUUGUGAAGUACUUUGAAGGAGUU
This 388-nucleotide long non-coding RNA is filed under the name Malus domestica (apple). Its description in RNAcentral is "long non-coding RNA (MDOM_LNC018619)". Lineage: Eukaryota; Viridiplantae; Streptophyta; Magnoliopsida; Rosales; Rosaceae. The record is from RNAcentral.